Molecule: microRNA precursor, 76 nt
Filed under: Bombyx mori (domestic silkworm)
Lineage: Eukaryota; Metazoa; Arthropoda; Insecta; Lepidoptera; Bombycidae
Description: mir-2774 microRNA precursor family
Rfam family: mir-2774 microRNA precursor family
Source: Rfam by way of RNAcentral
ACAACAUUUGGACCUUUUUUUUUGUCUGUCUACCGAGCAAUGUCAACUGCUCGGUGGAAGAUCUUUCUUUCGUCGU